This 212-nucleotide unclassified non-coding RNA is filed under the name uncultured fungus. RNAcentral's name for it is "partial contains 18S rRNA, ITS1, 5.8S rRNA, ITS2 and 28S rRNA". The record is from RNAcentral. Lineage: Eukaryota; Fungi.
AAGGAUCAUUACCAAACAUGGAAUAUCAUAUCCCUUAAACCCACUCUGAGUAUUUGUACCUGUUGCUUCCGUAGGCAGUGAACUAUAUGUUUGCGCCUGCUCGUGCGGUGGACCUACGGGAGAUAUCAAACAACUUCGCAAUUUGUGACCUCAGUCUGAUCAUGUUUAUUCGUUAAACUUUAAAACUUUCAACAACGGAUCUCUUGGUUCUC